This 3070-nucleotide long non-coding RNA is filed under the name Citrus sinensis (sweet orange). RNAcentral's name for it is "long non-coding RNA (CSIN_LNC003666)". The record is from RNAcentral. Lineage: Eukaryota; Viridiplantae; Streptophyta; Magnoliopsida; Sapindales; Rutaceae.
CAGGACAAGUACUGUAACAGGACGUGGUAGCGGAGGAGGUCGGCGAGGGAGGAGGGAGAGAGGCGGCGCGUGAAGUCCACCGAGGAGGGUGAGUUGAGGUAGGAGUUCGAUACGGCGAGGAGGGUGACGGAGGAUCGGUGGGAGAGGUCGGCGGCGACGGCUGAGGACGUGGAGGAGAUGAGGGCGGAGAAUGCGGAGAGGUCCGGGUACGGUAAAAGGAGGUCGGUGAUGUUGAGGGCCAGAAUGGGUGGGGUGGUGAUGAGGAGUAAAUAGGUUAUAAUUAUAGGGGUAAAAUUGGAAAUGCGGAGUUUAAAGGCCAUUGCGUGUGUGUGUGUGUGUGUCUCUCUCUCUCUCUCUCUCUCAGUCUCUCUACUAGAAUUUGCAGAGAGUGAAGUGAGUGGAGUAGGAGAUCGCAAGGGAAGGGAGAGUGAAAAGAAGGGAUUGAGUGAGAGCGUGAUGAUGGAGGAUGAUCAAAAAUGAUUAUGGUGAUGGCGAUGUUGAUGCAUUGAAUUUGUUUAAUUGUUAUUUUCAUUGCGGAUCUUUGCCCACUCGCGAUGGAGGUGCGAGUGAGGACACUCGCUUGCCAGACAGAGACAGGGAUUUGUGUUCAUACCUAUCUUAGACAAGUUUUUGCUAUCCAAAUGUGUAUCGCUUUAUUAUCGCAUAAUCAGGCUUUCCCAGUAAACAACAUUUUAGUACGCGACAAAGCGUAUGACAAUUUCAUACACGGGGACAUGAUCGUUAAAUCCAUCAAAACCAGUAAACAUAAGAUCAGACAGUUCCCACGUAUGCAUAGUGCAAUAUAGGGCAUGGGAACACACACUGUAGAUUCUCUGUCCGCUGUCAGCAUCAGACGGCAUAGAAAAGCGUGGAGGCAUCAGGCAACUGUUAUCAGAUCAUAUCAGGACCAUCGAAAAUAUUGUGGGGCCGGGCCAGAAAAGAACAUAACCCACUUGCCUGACCGCGUUCUGUCACCCACUACUACUAAUGCUUUGGCCAACCAACAAUUAACAUCUAGCAAAAUGCCAUUACAAUCCCAGCAGGAUAGAUUCUCUCUGUGUCCAUCUUUUGACCAAAAUACCCCUCAAAUUCUAGAAAAUUCACUGUAAGUACCGAGUCCGUGAUGCGCGCGUGUUUUAUCAGCGUACGGUGUACCUGUUGAUUCCCCAUGCUCCAUUUGUCCAGUUAAAAAUCUUAAAAAUAUUUGUCCGCGUGUAAUUGUCAUAAAAUUAAUUUUUUUUUAAAAAAUUAAAAAUAACGAGAAUUAAAAGGCUUCAGAAAAAGCAGUGUUUGAAGAAUUUGUGGUUCUGGAAAGCUCAGAGUACAGGAUGUUACCGAAAAAGAAUGGUAGCUUUAUCACUUUAUGCCAGAAGAAGGCAAGCUAGCUCGUUAUUUUCUUUCCAAUAAAAUCAGCAAAAUAACAAAAAUGUAUAAAAGUAGAUACAAUCCCUUCAUGCUACUCGUACAUACAUUGCAUUAUUAAAUACUCAAAAGCUCCUUUACAAAAUUACAACCCAAGAAAAAAAAAAAAAACACAAAUUGAGCAGAGCAAAAAUGGUGCUUUUGAAUGUAAAGUAUUUAAAUCAUGGACACAAUUAAAUAAACAUCCCCUCUUAAAAAAACCCAAAAAUUAAACAAUUCGGCUGCUUUUGUAGCCAAAUUAAAUUCAGCAAUGUAACAAAAAUAAGAACAGAAAAAAAAAUUGUACCCGAAAAAAAAAAAAGGAUUCAUACCAGUACAUACAACAAUCCUAUACAACACAGAGCAGCUGCAACAACGUAGCUCCUCCACUGCAACUGCAAUCCAUCAGCGUUUGAUCUCAUAUCUUCGCGAAAGCCGGGUGGCGACGUCAAAUGCGAAGAGGGCCCACCGAGUCCCGGUGAUUUCUCAGGCGACGGUGAUACACCCGGCGGCCGAGCAUUGCCUAUCUGCUGAUUCCCCGGCUUCGUCGUCACCGACGGCUCCUUCCCAAAAAUCUCCCUUGGCAGUAACACUUUUGAUACCCCAAAAAUCGCCAACGGAUUCUGAUCAAAAACUGUUUGCGUUACCGAUGCUUGAACGAGCCCAGUAUCGAUAGCCACUGAACCAUUAACUCUCGAAAUGUUUAACGUAAACCGACCGGCUCCCAUGUCUUCGGUCGCCAAUGUCGGCUGAACCGGGUUCACUAUCGACUCGAGCGAACCGAGCGGAUAAUAAGAAUGCAAAACAUGGAAUUUCAAAACGACAGCUUUUUUAUCAGCUGGCAGAGACUGCAGCUUCACGUUAUUGGGCAGAUCUGCGAAUGCGAGAUCGGUGGGGACGAAUAGAGUAAUCCCGGCGCCGCCUUCAUCGGCCUCGAAUUCCUCGACGACACCGGAGGCUGCCAGCAUCGACGCCGCGACGUUGAAGUUGUGGCCGUCGAUCAGGGCCUUGGUGAUGUUGAGUCCCAACGGCGGCCUGGUCUCGGAAGCCAUAAGAUCGAAGCCGUAGGGGACCAAGAGGGAGUUGAUCGAGAGAAUUGUGAUGUUGUAAGGCAGGGUUUUGAUUAGGGUCAACACGGUGGCGUUUGAGGCGGAGUAAGGAGCGGGGGAGUGGAUGGCGAUUGCGUUGGUGGCGGGGUUGCGGCUGAUGUUGACGGAGCCGAAGUUUGACGACGCGCGGCCGGUGGUUUGGAAGAGCGUGGUGACUAGAAUGCCGGAGGAGGGGAUCUUGCGGAGGUCUGCCCAGGACAAGUACUGUAACAGGACGUGGUAGCGGAGGAGGUCGGCGAGGGAGGAGGGAGAGAGGCGGCGCGUGAAGUCCACCGAGGAGGGUGAGUUGAGGUAGGAGUUCGAUACGGCGAGGAGGGUGACGGAGGAUCGGUGGGAGAGGUCGGCGGCGACGGCUGAGGACGUGGAGGAGAUGAGGGCGGAGAAUGCGGAGAGGUCCGGGUACGGUAAAAGGAGGUCGGUGAUGUUGAGGGCCAGAAUGGGUGGGGUGGUGAUGAGGAGUAAAUAGGUUAUAAUUAUAGGGGUAAAAUUGGAAAUGCGGAGUUUAAAGGCCAUUGCGUGUGUGUGUGUGUGUGUCUCUCUCUCUCUCUCUCUCAGUCUCU